AGGCGGUCCUGCAAGUCUGGAGUGAAACGUAUGAGCUCAACUCAUGCAUGGCUCUGGAAACUGGAGGACUGGAGAGCAGGAGAGGGCGGUGGAACUCCAUGUGUAGCGGUAAAAUGCGUAGAUAUAUGGAAGAACACCAGUGGCGAAGGCGGCCGCCUGGCCUGUUGCUGACGCUGAGGCACGAAAGCGUGGGGAGCAAAUAGGAUUAGAUACCCUAGUAGUCCACGCCGUAAACGAUGAGGACCAAGUGUUGGGGGUGAAACCUCAGUGCUGAAGUUAACGCAGUGAGUCCUCCGCCUGGGGAGUAUGCACGCAAGUGUGAAACUCAAAGGAAUUGACGGGGGCCCGCACAAGCGGUGGAGUAUGUGGUUUAAUUCGAAGCAACGCGAAGAACCUUACCAGGCCUUGACAUGGGAUGCGAAGACGCAGAGAUGCGUUGGAGGCAAACAUCCACACAGGUGGUGCAUGGUUGUCGUCAGCUCGUGUCGUGAGAUGUUGGGUCAAGUCCCGCAACGAGCGCAACCCUUGUGGCAUGUUGCUAACAGGAAAGCUGAGGACUCAUGCCAGACUGCCGGUGACAAACCGGAGGAAGGCGGGGAUGACGUCAAAUCAUCAUGCCCCUUAUGGCCUGGGCUACACACGUACUACAAUGGCGGCUACAAAGAGCGGCGAGACAGUAAUGUCGAGCGAAUCUCAUAAAAGCCGUCCCAGUUCGGAUUGGAGCCUGCAACCCGGCUCCAUGAAGUUGGAAUCGCUAGUAAUCGCGGAUCAGCAUGCCGCGGUGAAUACGUUCCCGGGCCUUGCACUCACCGCCCGUCAAG
RNAcentral lists this ribosomal RNA (821 nucleotides) under uncultured bacterium. RNAcentral's name for it is "bacterial SSU rRNA". It matches the Rfam family "Bacterial small subunit ribosomal RNA", at positions 573 to 1401 of the family's 1533-position model. The record is from RNAcentral.